Molecule: long non-coding RNA, 1327 nt
Organism: Acanthochromis polyacanthus (spiny chromis)
Lineage: Eukaryota; Metazoa; Chordata; Actinopteri; Pomacentridae
Exons: 2
Source: RefSeq, a predicted model, not a curated record
AGCUCCUACAGACACAAAUGAGUUUACGGCUACAUAUUAGCACAACAAAACAACAUGUAGUAACAGGAUGAGGAUAAAAAGUUUGUAAAUCGGGUGACACGUCAGCAGAUAGGCUACCCGUUGCAACAAAAUAUCAAAUACAGGCCUAAAUAAAUAACUUCCUAAAUGCGGGAUAACAAGAUAUGGACUAGAACAUCUAAGAAAAGACACUCAUUUUAGGAACAUCCCGUAGUCAGGAUAAUCAAACUUGGCACUGAAGAUCAGUCUAAGGUCUCCUGCUCAGUUGUGGAGUUACAGGUCAGCAGAUCAAGUAGGGAGGGAGAUACGUACGAUGAUCAAAAUUGAUACAUAUUGCAUCAGUUGUAUAGGGAGGACAGGGUUUUCGCCAGCAGAGGGCGUGGUUCUGCCCUCUACUGAGGGCUCAUCCAGUUAGUUUCAUCAGUGAAUUUACAGUAAUCCAAUUUUUCUUUGCAUUUUUCAGUCUUCAGGCUUCAUGAGGCUGCAAGUGUCACCAUCGGUGUAUAUUUUGUUUAUGUCUAGUUUUCUAGUCUUACUCAGCUGCAUUUCAGUCACUAUUUUAUAUUGUUCUGCUGUCUGACAACAGAAAAAUGUGCUUUAUUGUGAAUUCAGCUGUUUCAAAAUGCAUUUUUGUAGAGCACAGAGAGCAGACGAAAAGCUAACAGAUGCAAACAGCUGCUGAGUUUUGACUGAACUGAAAAUAAAACAUGAAUAUAGUAACACCUAAGUCCUUGUUUAUUGGUUUAAAUUAAAGUUCCACAAAGCUCUCACCUUUUAAUAAACCAUCAAAGCUAAUGGUUCCAUUCCUCCAGCCCUCUGCUUCCAACUCCCUUUUUCCACCAGUCAGCUCUGCAUUGCCUUCACUAUACUGUUAUGCUAACUUACAUACUGUUUGAAUUUUACUGCUAGCUAUAUAUGGAGUAUGUUUAAUGUCAGAGCCGUACAUCAUAAGAGUAAAUUAUGAGUCAGUUUUCAAUGUUAGCUUAUACUUUGUCUGUGUCACAUAUCCUGUCAUGCAUGUAUCCAAAUGUGUGUUGUGUUUUCCUUGCUUUCCCACCACUCCCUCUUCUCCCAUCCCUCCCCCUUGCCCUCUUCUGUCCUUCUCAACCCGCCCGGCCAGCAGGCAGAUGGGUCCCCCCUAUAUAGAGCCGGGUUCUGCUCGAGGUUUCUUCCCUGUUAAAAGGGUGUUUUUCCUUGCCACUGUCGCCUUUGGGCUUGCUCUGGGGGUCAGGCAUUUGGGUUCUGUAAAGCGUCUUGAGACGAGUUGACUGUAAUUGACGCUAUAUAAAUAAAAUUGAAUUGAAUUGAA